This 600-nucleotide ribosomal RNA is filed under the name uncultured Actinobacteridae bacterium. Its description in RNAcentral is "bacterial SSU rRNA". It matches the Rfam family "Bacterial small subunit ribosomal RNA", at positions 252 to 866 of the family's 1533-position model. The record is from RNAcentral. Lineage: Bacteria; Bacillati; Actinomycetota; Actinomycetes.
GUGAGGUAACGGCUCACCAAGGCAUCGACGGGUAGCUGGUCUGAGAGGAUGAUCAGCCACACUGGGACUGAGACACGGCCCAGACUCCUACGGGAGGCAGCAGUGGGGAAUAUUGCACAAUGGGCGCAAGCCUGAUGCAGCGAUGCCGCGUGCGGGAAGAAGGCCUUAGGGUUGUAAACCGCUUUCAGCAGGGAAGAAAAUGACGGUACCUGCAGAAGAAGGUGCGGCCAACUACGUGCCAGCAGCCGCGGUGACACGUAGGCACCAAGCGUUGUCCGGAUUUAUUGGGCGUAAAGAGCUCGUAGGCGGUUCAGUUAGUCGGGUGUGAAAACUCUGGGCUCAACCCAGAGAGGCCACCCGAUACUGCUGUGACUAGAGUACGGUAGGGGAGUGGGGAAUUCCUGGUGUAGCGGUGAAAUGCGCAGAUAUCAGGAGGAACACCAGUGGCGAAGGCGCCACUCUGGGCCGUAACUGACGCUGAGGAGCGAAAGCGUGGGUAGCAAACAGGAUUAGAUACCCUGGUAGUCCACGCCGUAAACGUUGGGCACUAGGUGUGGGUCUCAACCAACGAGAUCCGCGCCGUCGCUAACGCAUUAAGUG